GAUGAACGCUGGCGGCGUGCCUAGUACAUGCAAGUCGAGCGAACAGACGAGGAGCUUGCUCCUCUGACGUUAGCGGCGGACGGGUGAGUAACACGUGGAUAACCUACCUAUAAGACUGGGAUAACUUCGGGAAACCGGAGCUAAUACCGGAUAAUAUAUUGAACCGCAUGGUUCAAUAGCGAAAGACGGUUUUGCUGUCACUUAUAGAUGGAUCCGCGCCGCAUUAGCUAGUUGGUAAGGUAACGGCUUACCAAGGCAACGAUGCGUAGCCGACCUGAGAGGGUGAUCGGCCACACCGGAACUGAGACACGGUCCAGACUCCUACGGGAGGCAGCAGUAGGGAAUCUUCCGCAAUGGGCGAAAGCUUGACGGAGCAACGCCGCGUGAGUGAUGAAGGUCUUCGGAUCGUAAAACUCUGUUAUUAGGGAAGGACAAAUGUGUAAGUAACUAUGCACGUCUUGACGGUACCUAAUCAGAAAGCCACGGCUAACUACGUG
RNAcentral lists this ribosomal RNA (497 nucleotides) under uncultured bacterium. Its description in RNAcentral is "partial 16S ribosomal RNA". It matches the Rfam family "Bacterial small subunit ribosomal RNA", at positions 28 to 507 of the family's 1533-position model. The record is from RNAcentral.